UGGUCAGUCACGCCUGGUCCACACCAAAAUUCCAAAACAAACACGUUACCUACUACUCAUAUGCUAUAGUAGGAGUUAAUACAAACAAAGAAAACCUUAGUCCCACUAUCUAUCUUAUAUAGCAACACUGCUUCAAUGACUUGCAUUUUAUGCUAUGAUAUUUGUACAACAUGGUAAAGGUCUCAUUACCAAAAUCACAUACUUUCUUUAAAUAUAUCAAUUAUGUUGCAUGCCAGUGUUGAAUAGGACCACAAUUUGAAUCAAGACUACUUUACUUAAUUUGUAUCUCAUUAAAAGGAUGCUACAAAUCAGUGAGCCAAUCAAAGGAGGAAAUCACGUGAUUGACAACCAAAACAAGACAGGAUAAGGAUAAGAUAUUUUGCAUCUUUAUAACCACAAGGUCAUAUGUUGAAGCCUUCCUUCUAGCGAUUUCUUUUUGAUCACCAUUCUAACCAGUAACGAACAAAAAGGAAAAAUGGUGACACUACUGGUUUUGCAUUUUGUUUCUUCUUUACAAGUAAUCAACAAAACUCGAUUGAAACAAAAAAAACUUUAAAGGAUUUCCUUUCUUACCUCAAAUCCUUGGAUAUUCCUCUACAAAAGUUCUACCAUUUUGAUACACGUCGAGUCAACAUCUCAAAUUCUCUUGUAGAAUAAAAAAUAUGUUGUAGGUGUCUUGAUCUGGUAUUCACUAAUGAGAGAGAACUUUUUGUCAUCAAAUUGAUAUCACUCCUUGCUACAUUGAGCAAAAGCAAUGUAGCGUCUACUAUCAACUCAACCAUAGUGGUUGUUGACAGCAUACAACUUAUAGCGAGGAUGCUAAGGACUGUUUAUGCAAGGUGUACUUUGAUAGGUCUAAAUCAUAGAUAGGGAAGUCAACAAAAGUAUCCAACUUCCUAGAGCGAGAACUUAUAUAAGAAAAUCUUUUCAACUUUAUAAUGAAAAUAUCUGGUAAUUUACAGAGAUUUAUUUUUUUUUGGCAUUGCUAUACACCAUGCAUUUAGGACACUUCCACUUAUCUCCCAAUAGUUCUUCAUUGAGGUAAUCAUAUAAGCAUGCAUAUAAUGAAAUUGAUUUUGGAACCAUACUGGUCUCCGUUGAAUGGCUUUUCUUAGAAUGAUCAUAAUGCCUUCGUUCUUCAUUUGGCCACCGUACCGAGACCGAAGAACACCCUCUCAAUUGGUGGAAAGAUUCUUCAUUUAUUAGGUAACGCUCCAAGAAAGGCCUGUGAUGUUGCACGUAUAAUUUGAAGAUUUUUCUGUUAGGUUCAUGUUUAGCAUCAUCAAAUUAAAAGCAGAAGUGAUUUAACUUAAGAUAUGAAUAGAGGACCUCAGAAAACUUGUUACGUAUCAUGUCACCUUUACAAUACUGUGGAAUCCUAGCUGCUAGAGGAGUACCAAAUUUAUUGAAGAUACGCUAACUGGAAGUAAAGGUGAUCCAUCGGUGCUCAAUAUGGUCAAAUUCAUAGUCACUCAUAAUAGAAGAAGGCGGUGGACAUGACAUAAAUGUUGACGGCAACGGUAAUGAUAAAAGACUUAUUACAAUGUGCACAAAUCAUAGUUGACCAUUCCUGCCCCAACCACAUGCAAGCUAUAAUGAAUCAUUGUGAGGCUGCCAAUAUUCAGCCUAUUCUUAGUCUGGAAUUUCAUCCACGUCCAUUAUCUCACAAGCCUUUAUAUGAACUUGCUUCGAACUUUUGUGGAGUUCAUUGAGUAUAACCAAGGAACUCAUGCAAAUCUUGUUUUCCUGAGUUACUAAACUGAGUGAAAUUACGUAGCUCUGACUUGACAUCUUGCGGAUUCACUGAGGUAGUACACCUCCAGUUGUUCAUAGCUUCCUUAGCAAGCCUCCAUAUGCUAAAGCGAGCAUAUUCUCUAUAGAUUUUUUGAAGUCUGAAAAGAACUAAGCGGCAAGAUGUGGAGUAUUGUUCAUAUAGCAUGCGUUACCAGUAUUAUCGAGCCCAGUCAAACAUAACUUACAAGCUUUCAAUUCGAAUAAAAUCUCUUCCUUUUCUAAUUUAGAUGUGUCUGAUAGCGUAUUGCCUCGAGGGAAAAGCUUUGUAAGUUCUGAAAAAUCGCAACAAAACUUCUGGUUGGCAA
Erigeron canadensis is the source of this 2099-nucleotide long non-coding RNA. RefSeq lists it as uncharacterized. The transcript has 2 exons. Lineage: Eukaryota; Viridiplantae; Streptophyta; Magnoliopsida; Asterales; Asteraceae. The record is from RefSeq and is a predicted model, not a curated record.